Molecule: ribosomal RNA, 410 nt
Filed under: Photobacterium alginatilyticum
Lineage: Bacteria; Pseudomonadati; Pseudomonadota; Gammaproteobacteria; Vibrionales; Vibrionaceae
Description: partial 23S ribosomal RNA
Source: RNAcentral
CCUGUCUGAACAUGGGGGGACCAUCCUCCAAGGCUAAAUACUCCUGACUGACCGAUAGUGAACCAGUACCGUGAGGGAAAGGCGAAAAGAACCCCUGUGAGGGGAGUGAAAUAGAACCUGAAACCGUGUACGUACAAGCAGUAGGAGCCCCAUCACUAAGCUAUUGUGGUUUAGUGACAACAAGUACUUYAGUUUGAUAGUGGUUARCAACGCGAAGCGUUGAUCAACACACAAAAUCAAGCAGAGGUGGCUUAGUGAUGGGGUGACUGCGUACCUUUUGUAUAAUGGGUCAGCGACUUAAUUUUAGUAGCAAGGUUAACCGUAUAGGGGAGCCGUAGGGAAACCGAGUCUUAACUGGGCGUACAGUUGCUAGGAUUAGACCCGAAACCAGGUGAUCUAGCCAUGGGCAG